AUGGAGGAAGCGGAUGCCGAUGCAAAAAGAUCAAAACCCCUGUGCGCAAGAAACAAGUGUCCCACUCCCCGGCAGCCGAGCAGGAGGGAGGAAGAGUCGCUCAACAGCAUGUCGGUUGCAGCUCAGACGUGUCUCUCAGCAAAGGAGAUUUUGAAAAAGGGGGACAGCACUGAGAGCAAAAUGGGGAGGCCUGGUGGUACAAUGUGGGGAAAUCUGCCGAAAUGCCCUGAUAACCCGAAAGGCAUCGUACUUGUGAUCUUGUGCCUGGGUGGUCAAAGCGCAUAGAAAUGCUUCAGCUGCCGGUGAAGCAUUUCUAGAUAUGUAUGUCACUGUGUCCCAUGCUGCAUGGGCAUUUCUGUGGUAGGAUUUUGCCUUUUUGUGUCAGCUGUGGCGCUCAUGUUUCUUCCCGCAUGCAUAAACAUGUCCUUAGGAGAGAGUUUCAUUAUCCUGAGGCCUUUAUUACUCUCUGUUUUAUUUAUGCAUUGUCAAUUUCUAAGUCAAUUGUAAUUCUUUCAUAGCCUUAAGCCUAGAAUGGUGUAGUCUUCCAUGUCAUUUUUCCAGAAGAAAUAAAAGUUAAAGAUUUCAGUUUUCAGAACAGAGUAGCUGUUUAUAUGUAUGAUGACUACGGUUGUAAAAACAUCUGAAAAGAAAAAUACACGAACAUGUAAAAACAACCUGAACAGACACAUCACAAUUCAACUACUAAAAAAAGAUGUUGUUAUGAUCAUAUUGUACAAAUUCAUAGAUCAAUAGUCAGCACAAGGUCUGUCGAUAUGAGCCAGGAGCGAUGGACUCCUCAGCAGAGAGGGGGGAGGGGAAUAUUCCCCAAGACCAAACAAUGAUUUUUAUUCACUCACAGGCAAACACAUGUAUCUACACACAUGGGACAACCUUAAAAUUGCUUCAGACACUGAGGCGUAGUGCAUUGAAAAAUUUAAUAAGUGGCCAGUCAGCAGCACCUUGACCCUGAGCACAGGUUUUCAAGUUAGGGGGAUGCCCAUUUUGUGUGCUUCUAUGGAAUCAGCAUUAACAGCAGCAAGGAACAAUAAUGUCAACACAACCUGAAUUCACACAUGUGCGCAUGCACACACACUGACGCACACUACACGCAGAGUCUUUGGUGAAGAUGGUGCAUGGAUGCUUUCCACCCCCUGUUGCGACCGGAGCGAUGUUCCUGGAGUGGGGACAGCGAGAGGGGCAUCCCGCAGUGCUGUUUGGGCGUCCCUGCCAGCACCAGACAACUUCACUAUCCCUGCCCUAGCAGGGGGCGAUAAUCACAUCAAGCUCUCCUGACAAGAGGCAUUGAAUUCAGCUUCGGUCCCCUUAAGAGUCUGGCAUCCAGCAGUCUCUCCUCAACAUGCUGCUGACGUUACAAUGAGAAGGUUUGUGUUUUCAUUUUUUUCACUCUGCGGCAUCGCGCUUCUUUUUUUUUCCCCUCUCUGAAAUGUAUUUAGGAACGAUAUGGGAUUCCAUGUCAAUGGCGAAAAUCUGAAUUGGCAGAAUCAAGUGUUACCGCCAUUGCACUGUGGAAAGUGUUAUUGUAUUGGUGCCUUCAGUUUGUCAUGGUGAAUUCCAAACAAUAAUCAGUUUUUUGUCAGUCUGUCCUGAGAGGUAUUUGUGUAAAGUUUUGGGGGGAAAUUUACUGCUUUUAUGUAUAUCAUUUGGAAGUUCCCUAGAUUAUAUUCUUCCAUUGUCACAAUUGAAAUCGUCAAAGCACAUCAGCGACGUUACCCAGAGUAAAAGGCUAAAGACUGACACAUUAUCACUAUAUUGUCAUAGGUUUUCAUUCAAGGUCUCAACCAUGCUGGGCGGUGGUCAGAAAGAAAAGGAUGCUAUCGCUUUAAGAGAUCCAAUGUAUUCUCCCAAACCACGCUCAAUCAAUUUUUGCCGGCUCCUCUGGUUAGCAGCAGUACUGUAAUAUUUUUUUUUCAGUUUUCAGCUUUUGUUUUUCAAUACUCAUGCUUUCCUUUUAUAGUAUUGUUCACGGAUGUGCUGCACAUGUUGAUGGACAUCUCGUGGUAGCACACUUCAAGGGUUGUGAGAGCCGUUGUUUAUGUUUUGUGAAAAGCCUAGUCGGUACUCGUCUCAUAUAUAUGGCUAUUCUUAGAAAAUGCUGUCCACUCAUCAAGAUUUAAAAUAACAUGGACUAAGCGGGGGCAUACUUUUUUCU
Molecule: long non-coding RNA, 2170 nt
Filed under: Scophthalmus maximus (turbot)
Lineage: Eukaryota; Metazoa; Chordata; Actinopteri; Pleuronectiformes; Scophthalmidae
Description: lncRNA (ENSSMAG00000028856.1)
Source: RNAcentral